GUAAGUUAUCUGCUGCGAGUGACUGUGCGUCUUUGUCUGCUAUCUCUGUCCUGUGUGACUGCGGGCUGCUGCUCUGUGGUCCGGAGGCCUCGGGCCCUGCCUUUGUCUCUUCACACCCCCUUUGUACCAGCCCUGAGCUGCUCCUUUCACUGACCGUCAGCCUCCUCUCCCUCGGGGGGAGUACAGCCCCAGGCUAGAACUGAACAGGUCUGAGGUCUGAAGAUGUCUGGAGGGGGAUUUCAGUCUGUGAACAACACUGCUGGCUCACAGGUGUGGCAUCGACACAGACACACAUGUACAUUUAUUGAAAAGUUCAUACAUACCACGUGCCAGAAUCAAACUUGUACUUCACGGUUUCAACACAGGAGAACUUGUGAUCUAAAGAGAAACAAAGGAGGAUAUGCAUUCAAGUUACAAAAACAAUGUUUUCAGUAUUCUGUAGUGAACAGGUUCACCCUGCCAAACAGCAUGCGUUUUCAACACUCUGCAUUCCUGUUACCGAUCACAUGCAAAUACAUACUUGCCUGUUAUUAAGAGGAUAAAGCUAGAGGCAAGUGCCACAGCUCAAAGACAUUAAAUCAAAGUUUGACUUAUUUGUGCUUUAACAUAUCUGGAGUCAUCUUUCAUAAACCAAUGACAGAAAAUCAAGUAAUGAUGAGAAGACUGUUUGUUGCUUUAAAACACAUCUGAUCUGUUAACAAUGAGAAAUGCCUGAUUGAAGUUAUUUUGGCUUUUUAAGUACAAAUUAUAUAAUCAGAGACAUUGUUUAGGGUUCUAAAAGCUGCCACACCUUUAAAGAUAAAAAACCUGCAAGAGAGGUUGUUUUUUUUUAGUUUUACAGUCAUCAUGCUGAUUAUAGAAAGUUAAGCCAAAGAAGGCUGAUACACGGUAAUCACUACCUGUGAACACCACAUGGCACUUUCCUGUUCUUCAUAUUGACAUGGUAUUUUCUGCUUUCUCUGCACGGGUAUGUAUUUUAGUUCUAUGAGUAUCAGUAUGCAUCUACUUGACAAUAAACAAAAUAGAGAAUCUAAUAUCUGUUAGCGGCUGUUACUUACUGUAAGGAUCAGCCAGGAUGCAAAGUGUCAGCUGCACCAUGCUUCUCACCUCCCUCACCCCGAACAUCUCCUCUGAUACAGCAGGGAGACCCGCAACUGCACAAACAGUUAAGGAUGAAGACCAGUUUAUGCUGCUUCACACUGUAAUGUGUAAGACUUUGUGAUGUGAACGCUGCUAGGGUUAGUUUCCCUGUUAGAUAAGUUAACCUGAACUGAACUAUGAAAGGAGAGUUUAUACAUUCAUUAGAAAUUACGUUUUGAUUAUACAUUCAACAUUAGUACACAAGCAAGUAAAAGAUACAUUCCAACAUGGAGGCUGGUGUGUGCUUGGCCACAGGGCCAGCGUUGGGGCAGCAUUUGUGAAACUCCUUCCUCACGUCCACAAAUGAAAGGAAACAUUCAGGAAGGACAAGAUUCUGUGAAGAAAGAAGGAACAACACAAAGAAUUUAGUUUCCGCAGUAUGGUGACCUUACAUGGAAAUUGGAUACAGCAGGAAGCAAACGAUCAAAAAGAUGAAACAGAGAAGAUGCAGACGAAAAGAUUUGUUCAUGCCGACAUCAUCCCGUGUCAGAGUUACAACCCGGAACAAACAUAGGAGGAAAACAUCCAUCAUAAAGUCAUGACCUCUUGACCUCAAUGCCCACAUCAUGAGGGGAUAAAAGCUUAUAUUUAACACAUUUCAAUACUACCAUGAAUUCUAAACCCUCAAGGCUAAAAUGUUGUUUAUUAGAUAGUAUGUCAUUUAAGCUAUGAACAAAAAAAAGUAUGAGAAAUAGGAUUACUGUUAUUCUAUAUUCAAACUUCUAUUUUUUUUUAAUCAAGGGCUUACAUUUCAUAUUUUCACAAUACCAGUUAUAGGAAUGUUUUUAUUUUUUUUACAGUUUCUCCCUUCAGGCAGUGGAAAAAAAAACUAUUACUUUUUUGGAGGCUUCUGGGUGGAGGGCCUGUCGGACGAUCAGGGGGCUGUCGACGCAAAGUGUGUAAGAGCUUCUGCCCAGAGUUUUCAGUUCUGAUGACACCGACUGCUGGAACUGCACAGAGAAACAGAGGGGAAGGGCAAAAGAAGAUGAAACAUUCAUUUUAUUAGAAUAAUACGUCAGAAUUUCUACAGAUCAAAUGCUUGUAUUAUACAAUAUGUAACUUCCAGAAAAAAACAACUAUUAAUUUUUAUAAUAAACCUGUUUAUUAUUGUUCAAGUGUCUACCGUACAAAAACCAUGACCUACGUAAAAGUUAAGAAAACAAUCAGACUCAUGUGCAACAAAAGUGAAGGUGGUGUCAUGUUUGACAUUUCACUGUUUGUGUUUGUUUCUCGGGAGGAACGAGGCUUGUAAAACAGGUUUUUGUGUUUGCUUAGUGGCGAAUGAGGCAGACAAAAGGAGAGGAAUGAUCACACCCCUAAUCACCAGGAUCACACUUUUCUCACAGCGUGACCAACACUCCCAGCCAGAGGAGAGGAAAAACAACCCAUACGAGUCCAACCUGCCCGUCUCAUCUCGACGUAAACGCUGACGCUGGCCACAUCACCCAAUCCUAAACACCAGCAACUCCCACAUGUGUGCAUGUUUAUUUAUAACCACCACAUUAAAUGAGCCCAUUCCUUUUGUUGUGUCAAUGUGUUAUUGGCAACAGAGUCCAUCCUUUUAGUAUCAACACAGUGAGGCUAAUGACAUCUGAGGUCAUGAUUUUAAUUUAAGAGCAGCGAUGUUCAAGUCAUUUAUGGAAGGUUAAUAACUCAAAUGUAGACUGCUGGAAAUUUGUAACAACAACAACAAAACUUCAUAAACCAACAUCUUGGGCACUCAGUGCUGCAUGGACACCCAGUUAAAGUCCUCUGGUGAAAUCAAGUCAAAUUCUCUUUCACCUUUUUGCACCAGCUAGAUCUACGAAGUGGUCAGACAAUCAGUGUGUGGAGCACAUACUAAAAUCAAGACAACAACACAGACAGGCAAAUCAAAACAAGUGAAAGUUGUUGAUUCCUGGUGAGAAAUGCUUUGGACCAAAUAAUGUGAAUGUAAAUAAACUUCUGAAAUUAA
Molecule: long non-coding RNA, 3094 nt
Organism: Labrus mixtus (cuckoo wrasse)
Lineage: Eukaryota; Metazoa; Chordata; Actinopteri; Labriformes; Labridae
Exons: 2
Source: RefSeq, a predicted model, not a curated record